This 481-nucleotide ribosomal RNA is filed under the name uncultured bacterium. Its description in RNAcentral is "partial 16S ribosomal RNA". It matches the Rfam family "Bacterial small subunit ribosomal RNA", at positions 28 to 523 of the family's 1533-position model. The record is from RNAcentral.
GACGAACGCUGGCGGCGUGCUUAACACAUGCAAGUCGAACGGUGAAGGGGAGCUUGCUCCCCGGAUCAGUGGCGAACGGGUGAGUAACACGUGGGCAACCUGCCCCAGACUUCGGGAUAACGCUUCGAAAGAGGUGCUAAUACCGGAUACGAACUCCUUGGGCAUCCUGGGAGUUGGAAAGUUUUUCGGUCUGGGAUGGGCCCGCGGCCUAUCAGCUUGUUGGUGAGGUAACGGCUCACCAAGGCGACGACGGGUAGCCGGCCUGAGAGGGCGACCGGCCAGACUGGGACUGGGACACGGCCCAGACUCCUACGGGAGGCAGCAGUGGGGAAUAUUGCGCAAUGGGCGAAAGCCUGACGCAGCAACGCCGCGUGAGGGAUGACGGCCUUCGGGUUGUAAACCUCUUUCAGCAGGGAAGAAGCGAAAGUGACGGUACCUGCAGAAGAAGCACCGGCUAACUACGUGCCAGCCGCCGCGGUAA